GGAACAUAGUGGAAGAGGUUGCCGAGCUGCAGAGCUGGGCACCGUUAGAAAAAGCUUUCGAAUACAAUGAAAACAUCCAGGAGGAGAGAGGAAUUAGGUUUUUAGAAGAGGAACCCUUCGUUAAAGAUGUGUAGAGGAGCGAGCGCCUCCUCUUAACACCCAGACCUCCUCUGCCCCCCUGAUAAAACAUCUUCUCAAUUACCCGUUAUUUGGGAGGGGGCUGGGGUGAUUGAAGUAUCAAAGGAAGAGGGGUCAACAAGCAGAAAGCAUGAAUUAUUUUCCCUGAAAUGGUCCUGAUACUGGUCCUCUGUUACAUCCCUUUUCACGUCUCCUCCUCAUUUUGCAUAAAGUAUAAUUAGGUUAUUGUGCUUUUGAAUAAAUUAAGCGUGGAUGACUUUCAGGAUGGAGGUCAAAAACAGCAGCAGGCCAGAAAGAGAAGCUGCAGGGACAAGGAAGAAUUAGCACGAGUAUUUACAUUAUAUUAGCCUAUGUAAGAAUUUGACGUUUUUGUCGAGCGCAUCAAAAAACUAAGAAAUAUCUGCACAACAGAGGGGAAAAAACACCACAAAGUAACAAUAAAUGAGUUGAGAGAGUUUGGAAAUUUUCCCAGAAACAAACAAAACUUCUUCCUGUAUGCUGAAAAGGACUUCAAAAGUUUUUAAAAAACUAAGAACUACUAAAAAAAUGACAACAAAAACACAAAAAAGUAGAUUAGACAACCAAAAAAAUCAGGAAAAAACAUUUAAGAUGAAAAAUGACCUUAAAGGGAUAUUCCUGCAUAAAAUUAAUUUAGGGUCAAACACACCAUAACACAGAGUUAGACACCCCCUCGAGAGAUGAAUGUUGCCGACUGCUACAUUCAUCUCAAAUUAUACCAAUUUAAGUAGCAAUACAGAGAGACACGCACUCAACCAAAACGCCACUCUAUAGCCACAAAUAAUGCUCCGAACAGCACCUAACUUCAUCAACAGUACAUAUAGGGUCCUAGCCAUAGUACUAGCCACCAAACAUCUUUUUAACUUGGCCUGAUUUCUUUAGCAAACUCAACUCACCCACUCUCUUCUAGCAGCCACUUGUUUGUAUGGAGAACUUGGGCGAGUCCAUCAACUGCAGCGGGGUGUCGCAGCUCAAGGAAGAACAUUUAUGAUCAUUACUUUAUCAUUUCCAUGAAGUAAUAAUCAUCAAAUUAAUCAAUUUGCACUGCAUGGACUCACCCAAGGUCUCCAAACAAACAAGCAGCUGCUGGAAGAGAGUGGGUGAGUUGUGUUUAGUCUCUUCGCUUAAGAAAUCAGGCAAAGUUAAAAAGAUGUUUGGUGGCUAGUACUAUGGCUAGGACCCUUUAUGUACUGUUGAUGAAGUUAGGUGCUGUUCUGAGCAUUAUUUGUGGCUAUAGAGUGGCUUUUUGGUUGAACACGUGGCUCUCUGUAUUGCUACUUAAAUUGGGAUAACUAGAGAAGCAAGCGGUCGGCAACAUUCAUCUCUCAAGGGGGCGUCUAACUCUGUGUUACAGUGUGUUUGACCCUAGCUUAAUUUUACGCCGGAAUAUCCCUUUAAGAAAAACAGUUAAUAGGUCUCAGUAUCAGCCCUGACCAUCUCCCCUGUUUGUAAGAGUGCACCCUGGUCUGGUCAUGUCCAGGCACAUUCGUCUUAAAAGGUCAGAGGUCACCAGACGAGCAGCAAGCCUCUGCAUUUUUCCAGCGCUGAGAGAUGAGGUAGCUGGUGAUGAAUUGUUUUCUCCGGGCCGUGCCUGUGUGUGCGAGCACGUUAGCGGUCACAAAUUGCGUCUUAAUGAUUCUCUUUACAGAUCAUCACCUCGCCUGGGCGGGCGGAGGGAGGGAGGGAGGCGGGGUAGCUGGGGUGUGAGCUGCACCCCCCCCUGCUGCUCUGCUCUGGUCUGAAUGUUGUUUGGGUGCAAGAGAGUCAAGAUGGAAGAGCUCUGGAGAGGAAAUCGGGGGCAACAGAGCAGGGAAAUGUUUGUGUGUUUGCUGUGUGAAAGGAUGAAUGACAUUUAAUUGGUCUCAUAAAUAUAUACACAGAAUCCCAUAAUGCAGUGACUCUGAAGGCCGUCUUGCAGAACAGGUACAUGCUUUAGGAAAAUAAAGGGAAUUAUGGGAAAUUAAACCAAAAUAAUGAGCAGAGUUCAAAGAUUAUUGUUACUCUCGUUUUAUUGAUUGCACUUUAUUAUACCCGCCGUCUAAGAAGUAAUUACAGUAAAUUCACUUUGGUUUCAGCUCCUGGUUGUACGCCACACUGUAUAUCAAGUGUGAUGUUUCCCUGUUUUCUCACAUUACAGUCCACCAUCUGUACGACUGCGCUUACGAGCUGCUUCAGGAAGUGUCGGUGUAAUUAUCAGUCUUUCCUCUGAUCAUUUUAAAAAGCUCAAAGUCAGCGGGGUGUAGGGAAGAAACGUGAUUGCCUGUUAAACCGCCACACCGCCGGCCGCAGCGUUGAACACACGGCUGACACAUGUGGACCCCCGUGUAUUCAGAACUUUUGCACUCGGGGUUAAAACACAGACGGCAGUGGACACUCGAGCUUAAAGUUUGAUUUUCAGUGAUUUUCUGUUACUCAAACUGUGUUUUAUUUCCCCUUUAUGUCUUUUUCAUUCAUUAAAAUGCUUCACAGUCAUGUAAAGAAAUGCUGGAGUGCAAAACAAACAGAGCCUUUAAAGGGAUAUUCCGGAGUAAAAUUAAUAAAGGGGCCAAACACACCAUAACACAGAGUUAGACACCCCCUCAAGAGAUGAAUGUUGCCGACUGCUUGCUUCUCUAGUUCUACCAACUUUAGUAACGACCGCACGAUAGCAAUACACAUCGGUCAAUGGAACCAUACACAAACCUCAACCAAAACACCACUCUAUAGCCACAAAUAAUGCUCAGAACAGCACCUAACUUCAUCAACAGUAUGAUGUUUGGUGGCUAGUACUAUGGCUAGAACCCUCUAUGUACUGUUGAUGAAGUUAGGUGCUGUUCUGAGCAUUUUGUGUGGCUAUAGAGUGGCGUUUUAGUUGAGGUUUGUGUGUAGUUCUAUAGACCGCUGUGUAUUGCUAUCGUUCGGUCAAUACUAAAGUUGGUAUAACUAGAGAAGCAAGCGGUCGGCAACAUUCAUCUCUCCAGGGGGUGUCUAACUCGAUGUUGUGGUAUGUUUGACCCUUCAUUUCAUGCUGGAAUAUCCCUUUAAAGCUCCUGUAAGCAACUUUAGGAUUAUGUAGACCUUGACGCUCCCUGUGGCCAAGGCAGUCAUUGCUUACAUUGCACAAUAAAUCUCAUCUGGCUGACUUUGGACAGCCAUUAUGAAUAUCUUAUGAGGAAAUUGUAAAAAAAAAAAAAAAAAUUGGCGCCAUAAAAAAAAAAAACAACUUAUAGGAGCUUUAACACUUAGAACUCUGCUAGAUCGCCGGCGAUUCCACGUGACACCAUUAAUAUUUUUUACAGUUUCUCAGGAACAACACCGUGUACCUCUAUGGGAUGAAAAGCGUUCAAAAGCUUACCCUUUUGGAGAUCUAUCAAGGGUUUCCAGGCAUUUCUACACCUGCCACAAGGUUUAGAAUCCAGCCACAAAAAUAGGUGUUUGAUCAGAGACGUUUGAUGGUAAAUCCGCAGUGAUAUACCAGUGAAAACAUGAUUAUUUAUCAUAUUGUUUUGAAAAAAAUAUGAUCGCUAAAAGUCGCUAAUGUCUUCCGGGUUUUGCAAGCUGUUUUGAUGACAUCUUUUUCAGUCAAACUUUCGACCAAUUGCAUGGUCUCCUAUUCUUCCUCUAUUGUUCUCUUGACGGUAGUGUCCAAUAAGAGGCAACCAAAGAUCAACAAGAGACAAGAAAGUUUCCCGCUUGUCUGCAAAAUAAGAAAUAAUGGUCCUCAAUGCUUGGAAACAAGCAAAGAAGAGAUUAUGAGCAGUAUGAUGUGGCUCUCUGUCUCAUCCCAGACAGGAACUGCUUCAAGGAGUGGCAUUAACAACUGGAAAUAGCAAAAAACGCCUGGAAGAAUUAGUGUAAAUAUGUAAAUAGUUUCUGUUGUGUGUUUGUUCCAAUCCCAAUAUUUCUUCUCCUGAUAGCCAAGACUUAACAGAAUGAUGUGCAGGUGAGAAAAGGCUUGGUCAUUGUAGAUUUAUGUGUUUUUUGAGCAAAGUACAGUUGGUAUCAAUUUCCGCUUUUGUUUUUUGGUUGACUUUGAUGGUUCUGAAUCUACAGUCACAUUCAUUUACCAUAAUUUUUGCAUCCAUAAACUGACAGCUGAGGUUGUCCUGAAAAAAAGAUGAGUAUAUAUUUGCUGUGCAGAAGCAAAAUAGCAAAAUAUAGCUGGGAGUUCUAAGGGUUAAUGUCAACGGCUACUGUGCUACACAGACAUUACAUGAAGGAGAGUUCACAGUAUAAGAACACAGCUAAGGAUUUUGUUCCAGGCAGAACUUGUUGUCGCAACCGAUUCAGUUUUGGCAGCUGCUCCAUAAAAAAAAAAAAAAAAGUGUUAUGAUUGGUGGCGCUGCCUUGUGGGAGAGGGUCUCAAUUUCAGCCCCCAUUCUCUCGGCACCAUUAGCUGACAAAAAGACCAGAGGCCAGAGAGAGAGGCACAUUUCUCAGGUGGUAUGGAGUGUCAGGAGAUGAUUUGUGGGUGUCUGGAUUAUUUGAGGCACUCGGUCUUGUUUGAAACUGUAAAUGGAUGUAUAUUCUGUCUGCUGUCAAACAGGCUGAUGAUGAAGCAGGACGCUGUGCAGACUGAGCUCAUGUAAUUGGCAUGAUAAAUCAGUGACACGCUGUAAAGGACAGCAGUGAUAUUGAUACCUUUGUCAUUUUAGUACCUAUCACAGCUAACUCCAGAAAUCCCGUUCCCUUGGCGAUGCUGAGAUUUACAUAAUUAUACCGCUAAAAUGAAUCCCUGUGCGAUGAAUCCCUCUGACUUCUUUUUUUUUGUUCGGUGUGUCUGGACAAAAUGGUAAAACGAGGAAGGACAGAUGGAGAGGAAAGAGGCGACAGCAUGUGAGGAAAGGUUAUGAAUACAUCAGUGGCCUACUGAGCCAACAGGAUGUGGCAGCAUGGGUGUGUUUGCACAUGCAGGUGUGUGUGUAUGUGAGAUGAACGCAUUUGUAUGCAGUCUGCGUCUCAAAUCAGCCGCCUGGUGAAGACGAAUCGCUCUGUCUUGAUGCCAAAUGUUAAUGCUGAGACAAAGGACUGAGAUUGAUCCAAAUCAACCAGAGAGGGUGAAUUUCGUGUAAACCGGCUUAAACUGGACAAUCAAACUUUAACAGAAGAUUCAGUCUGGCUUCCUUUUGUGGCGUAAAUCUUCAAAAUUGUAUUUUCACUUUUUGUAUCUUCAGUCUGAAACAUGAUUUGAAUGCAUUCUGCUUUAAUCGUAUUUUUCAGCUGAAGUUGUGUUGCUAUUGAUUUACCAAGACCUCUCCACCUCUUGUAAAAAUGAGUGUUUUAUUGGCAUCAGUCUAUCUGCACAAAGGAAACAUCUUUUCAUUAAUAGUAAAAGCACUUAGACGCAACGUCUCCUCAUCCCCUACCCAUGAUAAAAACCAAACUCCUUAUAGGCUUGCCAUUUCCAUGCUACCUAACCCUGAA
This 5559-nucleotide long non-coding RNA is filed under the name Xyrichtys novacula (pearly razorfish). Lineage: Eukaryota; Metazoa; Chordata; Actinopteri; Labriformes; Labridae. The record is from RNAcentral.